This 254-nucleotide ribosomal RNA is filed under the name uncultured bacterium. Its description in RNAcentral is "partial 16S ribosomal RNA". It matches the Rfam family "Bacterial small subunit ribosomal RNA", at positions 524 to 776 of the family's 1533-position model. The record is from RNAcentral.
UACGUAGGGGGGCAAGCGUUGUCCGGAUUUAUUGGGCGUAAAGAGCGUGUAGGCGGCCAGACAGGUCCGUUGUGAAAACUCGAGGCUCAACCUCGAGAUGUCGAUGGAAACCGUCUGGCUAGAGUCCGGAAGAGGAGUGUGGAAUUCCUGGUGUAGCGGUGAAAUGCGCAGAUAUCAGGAAGAACACCUAUGGCGAAGGCAGCACUCUGGGACGGUACUGACGCUGAGACGCGAAAGCGUGGGGAGCGAACAGG